Molecule: long non-coding RNA, 238 nt
Organism: Rhipicephalus sanguineus (brown dog tick)
Lineage: Eukaryota; Metazoa; Arthropoda; Arachnida; Ixodida; Ixodidae
Exons: 2
Source: RefSeq, a predicted model, not a curated record
AUCGCUACUGACGCGCAACACAACGUAUCAAGACACUGAAACCACACUGCUGGAAACUACCGAGAAGAUGACACCAAACACCGUGACCCCUACGUCACCACGAAACGCCUAUCAAAGGAGCCGGACAUCGAUGGAGCAGACCACACUUACUCAGCAACAGUGGUGACGUGCUGUUAUGGCCCUGUGCUGAGUGAUUUCUUCGUGUUUACAGGAUUACCUGCAUCGCUACUGACGCGCA